GGUUGACCUCGGAUCAGGUAGGGAUACCCGCUGAACUUAAGCAUAUCAAUAAGCGGAGGAAAAGAAACCAACAGGGAUUGCCUCAGUAACGGCGAGUGAAGCGGCAAGAGCUCAAAUUUGAAAGCUGGCUCCUUCGGGGUCCGCAUUGUAAUUUGCAGAGGAAGCUUCGGGAGCGGUCCCCAUCUAAGUGCCCUGGAACGGGCCGUCAUAGAGGGUGAGAAUCCCGUAUGGGAUGGGGUGUCCGCGCCCGUGUGAAGCUCCUUCGACGAGUCGAGUUGUUUGGGAAUGCAGCUCUAAAUGGGUGGUAAAUUUCAUCUAAAGCUAAAUAUUGGCCGGAGACCGAUAGCGCACAAGUAGAGUGAUCGAAAGAUGAAAAGCACUUUGAAAAGAGAGUUAAAAAGCACGUGAAAUUGUUGAAAGGGAAGCGUUUGCGACCAGACUCGCUCGCGGGGUUCAGCCGACUUUCGGGUCGGUGUACUUCCCCGUGAGCGGGCCAGCGUCGGUUUGGGCGGCCGGUCAAAGGCCCUUGGAAUGUAACGCCUUCCGGGGCGUCUUAUAGCCAAGGGUGCCAUGCGGCCUGCCCGGACCGAGGAACGCGCUUCGGCUCGGACGCUGGCAUAAUGGUCGUAAACGACC
This 636-nucleotide ribosomal RNA is filed under the name Penicillium thiersii. RNAcentral's name for it is "eukaryotic LSU rRNA". It matches the Rfam family "Eukaryotic large subunit ribosomal RNA", at positions 1 to 649 of the family's 3401-position model. The record is from RNAcentral. Lineage: Eukaryota; Fungi; Ascomycota; Eurotiomycetes; Eurotiales; Aspergillaceae.